This 1045-nucleotide long non-coding RNA is filed under the name Monodelphis domestica (gray short-tailed opossum). Its description in RNAcentral is "lncRNA (ENSMODG00000037235.1)". Lineage: Eukaryota; Metazoa; Chordata; Mammalia; Didelphimorphia; Didelphidae. The record is from RNAcentral.
AUUUGAUUCUAAUGCAGAAGAAAAGGGUUUAAAAAAAAGAACUAUAAUUGUGAGGAAUCCAGAGAAAGCUGGACAGUCCUUAGGAAACCAUUCAAUGCGACUUCAGCAAGCAAGCAAAUAAGACUGCUUCCCAACAGGACCAGAGGAAUUGAGGGCCUCAAUAAUUAGAACUGUUGGUAUGGCGGAUGGAGAGCUGGACUUGGAAUCAGGGAUACAAUACGUGUGUUCAAAUCCUGUCUCUGGCCUUUCCCAGCUGGUGUGCUCCUGGCUCAAGUGUUCCAGCAGCUAGCCUGCUGGCAUAUGCCCAGAGGAGCUUCGCCAUUAUUCCACUUCCCAGCUGUCUGCAAAAAAUAGUCCUGAAGUGUCUCUUUCAUGGGUCUUAAAGGGAAUCUGACUCAGAACCAGAGAGUUUGAAAAAUGAUCUCUAUCUCUGCUGGGCACAAUGUCGGGCAACGCUUUUCCCUUCUUCUCCUUAUUAAAUUUUCUAGGCUAAAAAAUUGUGGAAAUGGACCGUGACGGAUAAACACAUACAUGCACACACUUGAACAGAAUGCUCUCAUAUGUGCCCAUGUGUGAUCUCUGGCAACUUAGCUUUCAUGAGUGAUGGUUGCUGAUCCAUAUAACUCCAAUUUUUUGAGCAAGAGAAAGAGAGAGAGACAGAGAGGAGAAAGAAGAGAGAGGAGGAGAAGGCUUAGUUACAUAAUUUGUAAAAAGUAGAUAAUAAUCACACUCCCUACCUCACUGGGUUCUGACAAGGCUGAGCCUGCCAACUUUAAAAAAACAAACAAACUGUAGAUGUUUUAUCAACACUAAUUAUCACCAAAUAGAAUAAGAGCCAUAUAGAUUAAGUGCCAUUUGAGAUCUGAAGAGAGGAGAAUUUGUAAUGGGGGAAAAUCAGGAAAGGCUUCCUGGAAGAGGUUGCAUUUGUUUUUGACUUAAGAAGGUGGCUAGAUCCCAAAAAGGCAGAAUUGGUAAGUCAAAGAACAAUCAUAAAAACAAAAAGGAAAAUUCAUCAAAGAAAAUAAAAAUAAGACAACUUACCGCA